Molecule: transfer RNA, 76 nt
Filed under: Syntrophomonadaceae bacterium
Lineage: Bacteria; Bacillati; Bacillota; Clostridia; Eubacteriales; Syntrophomonadaceae
Description: tRNA-Val
Rfam family: tRNA
About the family: Transfer RNA (tRNA) molecules are approximately 80 nucleotides in length.
Source: RNAcentral
GGGCGAUUAGCUCAGCUGGGAGAGCACCUGCCUUACAAGCAGGGGGUCGGCAGUUCAACCCUGUCAUCGCCCACCA